GAAGGGAGGAAGGGAGGAGGAAAAUAUAUGAGAGAGGAGAGGAUAGGAAGAGAGGUGAGGGAAGAGGAGAGGAGCGAAGUAGAGGAGGGGAGAAGAGGAGUCCAGAUUUGAGAAAAGAGGCCAGGAUGGUGUUAUAUGUCCAAAGCAAAUGGCACUGUGUCCCAGUAGAAUUAUAACUCCUGCUGUGUGGAGCUACAGUAAAUAUGCUUCCCCAUUCUAUAUUCUGGAGAAUGGUGCUGCAGUAGGAAUGGUGCUGCAGUAGGAAAGGUGUUACAGUAGGAAAGGUGUUGCAGUAGGAAAGGUGCUGCAGUAGGAAUGGUGCUGCAGUAGGAAUGGUGCUGCAGUAGGAAAGGUGUUGCAGUAGGAAUGGUGCUGCAGUAGGAAAGGUGUUGCAGUAGGAAAGGUGCUGCAGUAGGAAUGGUGAUGCAGUAAGAAUGGUGUUGCAGUAGGAAAGGUGCUGCAGUAGGAAAGGUGCUGCAGUAGGAAAGGUGCUGCAGUAGGAAAGGUGCUGCAGUAGGAAAGGUGCUGCAGUAGGAAUGGUGCUGAAGUAGGAAUGGUGCUGCAGUAGGAAUGGUGCUGCAGUAGGAAUGGUGCUGCAGUAGGAAAGGUGCUGCAGUAGGAAUGGUGUUUCAGUAGGAAUGGUGCUGCAGUAGGAAUGGUGCUGCAGUAGGAAUGGUGCUGCAGUAGGAAUGGUGCUGCAGUAGUAAAGGUGCUGCAGUAGGAAAGGUGCUCGAGUAGGAAAGGUGC
Molecule: long non-coding RNA, 747 nt
Filed under: Salmo salar (Atlantic salmon)
Lineage: Eukaryota; Metazoa; Chordata; Actinopteri; Salmoniformes; Salmonidae
Description: lncRNA (ENSSSAG00000092130.1)
Source: RNAcentral